AACGCAGCGAAGGGCGAUAAGUAAUGUGAAUUGCAGAAUUCAGUGAAUCAUCGAAUCUUUGAACGCACCUUGCACCUUUUGGUAUUCCGAAAAGGUAUGCCUGUUUGAGUGUCUUGAAUUAUCACUUUAAAAGAGUUUUUCUCUUUAAACGUGGAUGUGGGUUUGCAAUCUGCUCACCUAGAAUGCCUUAGUGGUUCAAACUGGAUCCUGAUGUAAUAAGUUUCAUUAGGUGAAAGGAAGACUGCUUCUAAUUGCCUUUGGGCUCUCUUUUAAGACUAGACCUCAAAUCAGGUAGGACUACCCGCUGAACUUAA
RNAcentral lists this ribosomal RNA (314 nucleotides) under uncultured fungus. Its description in RNAcentral is "eukaryotic LSU rRNA". The stretch from base 1 to 114 matches the Rfam family "5.8S ribosomal RNA", at positions 42 to 154 of the family's 154-position model. Lineage: Eukaryota; Fungi. The record is from RNAcentral.